Molecule: ribosomal RNA, 253 nt
Filed under: uncultured bacterium
Lineage: Bacteria
Description: partial 16S ribosomal RNA
Rfam family: Bacterial small subunit ribosomal RNA
Source: RNAcentral
UACGAAGGGGGCUAGCGUUGCUCGGAAUUACUGGGCGUAAAGGGCGCGUAGGCGGAUAGUUCAGUCGGGGGUGAAAGCCCGGGGCUCAACCUCGGAACUGCCUUCGAUACUGGCGGGCUUGAGACCGGGAGAGGAGGGUGGAAUACCCAGUGUAGAAGUGAAAUUCGUAGAUAUUGGGUGGAACACCGGUGGCGAAAGCGGCUCUCUGGCCCGGAUCUGACGCUGAGGCGCGAAAGCGUGGGGAGCAAACAGG